RNAcentral lists this transfer RNA (71 nucleotides) under Ailuropoda melanoleuca (giant panda). It matches the Rfam family "tRNA". From Rfam's summary of the family: Transfer RNA (tRNA) molecules are approximately 80 nucleotides in length. Their secondary structure includes four short double-helical elements and three loops (D, anti-codon, and T loops). Lineage: Eukaryota; Metazoa; Chordata; Mammalia; Carnivora; Ursidae. The record is from Rfam by way of RNAcentral.
GCCUGGCUGGCUUAGUUGGUAGAGCAUGUGACUCCACCUCAGGGUUGUGAGUUCAAGCCCCAUGUUGGGCC